Molecule: ribosomal RNA, 775 nt
Filed under: uncultured beta proteobacterium
Lineage: Bacteria; Pseudomonadati; Pseudomonadota; Betaproteobacteria
Description: bacterial SSU rRNA
Rfam family: Bacterial small subunit ribosomal RNA
Source: RNAcentral
ACGCUGGCGGCUGCUUACACCUGCAAGGUUAAACGGCAGCACGGGAGCAUCUGGUGGUUAGUGGCGAACGGGUGAGUAAUAUAUCGGAACGUGCCCAGUCGUGGGGGAUAACUGCAGCGAAAGCUGUGCUAAUACCGCAUACGAUCUACGGAUGAAAGCGGGGGAUCGCAAGACCUCGCGCGAUUGGAGCGGCCGAUAUCAGAUUAGCUAGUUGGUGGGGUAAAGGCCCACCAAGGCGACGAUCUGUAGCUGGUCUGAGAGGACGACCAGCCACACUGGAACUGAGACACGGUCCAGACUCCUACGGGAGGCAGCAGUGGGGAAUUUUGGACAAUGGGCGCAAGCCUGAUCCAGCAAUGCCGCGUGCAGGAUGAAGGCCUUCGGGUUGUAAACUGCUUUUGUACGGAACGAAACGGUGAGCUCUAAUAAAGUUUGCUAAUGACGGUACCGUAAGAAUAAGCACCGGCUAACUACGUGCCAGCAGCCGCGGUAAUACGUAGGGUGCGAGCGUUAAUCGGAAUUACUGGGCGUAAAAGCGUGCGCAAGGCGGUUAUGUAAGACAGAUGUGAAAUCCCCGGGCUCAACCUGGGACCUGCAUUUGUGACUGCAUAGCUAGAGUACGGUAGAGGGGGAUGGGAAUUCCCGGCGUUGUAGCAGUGAAAUGCGUAGAUAUGCGGGAGGAACCCCGUUGGCGCAGGGCCAUCCCCUUGGACCUUGUUCUGACGGCUCCAUGCCGAAAAGCGUGGGGAGCACACGGGUUUCGUUCCCUGUAGUC